Molecule: ribosomal RNA, 513 nt
Filed under: uncultured bacterium
Lineage: Bacteria
Description: partial 16S ribosomal RNA
Rfam family: Bacterial small subunit ribosomal RNA
Source: RNAcentral
GACGAACGCUGGCGGCGUGCUUAACACAUGCAAGUCGAACGAAAAGAGGGAAAGAGCUUGCUCUUUCCGGAAUUGAGUGGCAAACGGGUGAGUAACACGUAAACAACCUGCCUUCAGGAGGGGGACAACAGACGGAAACGACUGCUAAUACCGAAUAAGUUCCAAGAGCCGCAUGGCCCAUGGAAGAAAAUUUGGCCUCUACCUGUAAGCUAUCGCCUGAAGAGGGGUUUGCGUCUGAUUAGCUGGUUGGGGGGGUAACGGCCCACCAACGCGAAGAUCAGAAGCCGGUCUGGGAGGAUGGACGGGCACACUGGGAAUGGGACACGGGCCAGAAUCCCAAGGGGGGGAGCAGUGGGGGAUCUUCCGAAAAGGGGGAAAGGCUGACGGAGCAACGCCGCGUGAGUGAUGAAGGGCUUCGGGGUGUAAAACUCUGUGAGCCGGGACGAAAAGGCAGAGUGAGAAAAACAAACUGGAUUGACGGUACCGUAAAAGAAAGCCACGGCUAACUACGUG